RNAcentral lists this transfer RNA (64 nucleotides) under Heterocephalus glaber (naked mole-rat). It matches the Rfam family "tRNA", at positions 6 to 65 of the family's 71-position model. Rfam says of the family: Transfer RNA (tRNA) molecules are approximately 80 nucleotides in length. Their secondary structure includes four short double-helical elements and three loops (D, anti-codon, and T loops). Lineage: Eukaryota; Metazoa; Chordata; Mammalia; Rodentia; Bathyergidae. The record is from Rfam by way of RNAcentral.
UGUAGCUCAAUGUUAGAGCACUUGCCUCUUACCAUGCAAUAGUCCCUGGGUUCAAUCCCCAGUA